AUGGGGAUCAAAUAAGGGCUAAAAUUAAAUAGCAUUAACAGUUACAAAAACAACAUUUCUUCAUUAUGUCUUGAAUAAGUAGAAUAUAAAGACAAUUUCAACCCCAAAUUGGAAUAUUAGACAAUGAUUCCACCUUCUGUAUGCGAUGAAGAGAGGUAUUAGUUGCUGUCACCUCCAAAAAGGUAUCCCAGGGAAGAUCCACCACCAGGAGCAGCAUGGAUUUUCGUACACGGUCGAUCCUGUCAAGAAAGGAUCCCGUUAUAUUCGACCUCCACUUCUUGUUGUUAGGAUAGAGAAAACAAGAAAUCAAAUGCAAUUCAACAUCUGAAUGAGUUCGAAAUUUCACAAAUCAAACAAUGGCAAAUCAGCCUUGUGCUCUCCCACUUUACAAACAGUUCUAGAUAGCCAUGUGAUCACCGAGCAACCCUUCAAUUUAAAUCAUCAUGAUAAAGAAGUUGCAGAAGUAGGGAAAGACAUGCAAUUUAAAUCAUCAUGGUCUUCAAAAAUGAGCAGAAUUUUAAAACAACAAAUGUUCCGAAACAAUGUUGGUACUUGGAAUUGACUGAAGAUCUCAUUAACAAGAGUUAAGUCCCUUGUACAGGGUGGUUUGCCAGGCAGAAUGCUAGGUGGUAGCACUGCAUUUGAUGUUGGGCAAAAAACAAAUUUAAACGAAAUUGCAAUUUGUACCCGUUACCCGUCCCUCACAUGGGAGGCAGGGCCCGCGCAAAAUAAAUGUGUGGGACCCACCCCCCCCAUGUGAGUGGCGUGUAAACGCCCGGGUACAUGUAGCAAAGCCCAAUUUAAACAUACCAACACAGUGCUGCCAGGCAUUAUGUCAAACUGCAUGGCAAACCCCCUUAUACAUGUAGCAUGAUUCCAUUAAAAAGGAAUCACCCUCUUCACCAUUUGCACAUCAGCACAUGCAUGGGUAUGUUUAGCAAUCAUCUGUAGAUACAAACAUGCAUUUGCACCCACACAAAAUGUGUUUAAAAAGAAUAAAACGCGUGCUCAGGCCUUUUUCUAGCUUCAGUGCAAACCAAAAGAAAAA
Molecule: long non-coding RNA, 1048 nt
Filed under: Olea europaea (common olive)
Lineage: Eukaryota; Viridiplantae; Streptophyta; Magnoliopsida; Lamiales; Oleaceae
Description: long non-coding RNA (OEUR_LNC011951)
Source: RNAcentral